Molecule: ribosomal RNA, 326 nt
Filed under: uncultured eukaryote
Lineage: Eukaryota
Description: partial 18S ribosomal RNA
Rfam family: Eukaryotic small subunit ribosomal RNA
Source: RNAcentral
CCCUUAGAUGUUCUGGGCUGCACGCGCGCUACACUGAUGCACUCAACGAGUUUACGACCUUGCCCGAUAGGGUUGGGUAAUCUUUUUAAAAUGCAUCGUGAUGGGGAUAGAUUAUUGCAAUUAUUAAUCUUCAACGAGGAAUUCCUAGUAAGCGAGAGUCAUCAGCUCGUGCUGAUUACGUCCCUGCCCUUUGUACACACCGCCCGUCGCUCCUACCGAUUGAGUGCUCAGGUGAAUAAUUCGGACUGCAGCAAUGUUUGGAUCCCGAACGUUGCAGCGGAAAGUUUAGUGAACCUUAUCACUUAGAGGAAGGAGAAGUCGUAACA